CCUUUAAGUAUUGAAAGGGCACAGUAAGACAUCCCCUAAGCCUUCUCUUCUCCAGGCUGAACAACCCCAACUCUCUCAGCCUUUCUUCAUAGGUGAGGUGUUUCAGCCCUCUGAUCAUACUCAUGGCCCUCCUUUGGAGCCCCUUUUCAUCUUUGCUUCUA
Long non-coding RNA from Athene cunicularia (burrowing owl), 161 nucleotides. RefSeq lists it as uncharacterized. The record is from RefSeq and is a predicted model, not a curated record. The transcript is spliced from 4 exons. NCBI's taxonomy places the organism in Eukaryota, Metazoa, Chordata, Aves, Strigiformes, Strigidae.